RNAcentral lists this long non-coding RNA (1301 nucleotides) under Cyanistes caeruleus (blue tit). Its description in RNAcentral is "lncRNA (ENSCCEG00000001116.1)". The record is from RNAcentral. Lineage: Eukaryota; Metazoa; Chordata; Aves; Passeriformes; Paridae.
AUACCGAGUGCCACAAACCACCUUGCAGCAACAGAGUCAUAAACUGAAGAGGAUAGAAAGGAUUUUAAUAGGAGAUUAAAAGGAAGAAGUGACUCACUGGAUGAGAGAAAAGAGGGAGUGCGCAGGCUUUGACUGCAGGAGAGCUGCUUUGUGAUGCCUCUGAGUGCACCGAGGAUCCCAGCUGUGGAUCCAGCAAAUUUCUUCGGUGUUGGAGGACAGAAGCAGCGGGUGGGAGAGAGGCAGCCAGGAGGCAGAGAUGAAGGGGACAGCCAAGGCACUGUGCAGAGAAUGGGAGGGAAGAAGGAGCCGCUGUGGGGAGUGCACUGUGUGCGCUACCUGACACACAUACAACCCACAUGCUGCCUGAAUCAAAGCAUCUUUUAUAAAUAACCCCUGGGAAGAAGGUCUCCACAACGACAGCUGAAAAGAUUCAAAGCAAAACACACACGGCAAAGGCGAUCCCGUACCUGAAUAUGAGAAUUUCCUUUACUUGAUUGACGGUGGCUUAUAGAUGUCCCCAGAAUGACUCAGAGAAGCCUUUUGCAGAAGUCUGGAACCUGAGAGUCAGGAAUUCAUGAGAAACAUGGACAGCCCCCACCUCUGAGGUUGCAGAUUCCCAGAGUAGGAGGAAGACCACAUCCCCAUAGAAGCAGCCUAGGAUCAUGCCUUUGAGAAAAGCAUAAAACCACUGAGACUGUGUUAAUCUUAUUUCUGGCAUAUUUUUUUUUGUAUUAGUGAUUUUGGCCCAGUUUUUGAGUUAAUGUAUAGUCCUUUCUUCUUCUAAAAAAGAAAAUGCAAAAUGUGGGAAAGGAGUGGAAACAGAUGACUACAGUUUGUGAGUCAGUCUGAGAAAGAAACAGCCAGUAUCUACAUUCAGUACACUUUGUGUAUGUCACCAGGGUCUCAAUGGGUGAAGCUGGAAAAAUAACAUCAACUUGAGUUCUGUGACUGAAAAAAAACCCAUGGUAUUUUCUCAAAUCAGAUUAGUCAGUUUUUGUCAUUCAAUUCCAGAAAAAGUUUUGCUUCAAGAUUGGGGUUAUUUAAAUCAUUUCCAUAAUCUUUUCCCCUCUUUCAGUUCAGUUAGGAAUUGAUAAAUACAUUUCAAAGCAAAGAGUCAACAGGCUUGUGUUCUUUAAAUAUCAGAGUGAAUUGUCUCAAGGAUUUCAAAAUUUCUUGCCACCUGCCACUUCCUGGGUAUUUUUCAUUGGCUGAAAAUGCGUUGUGUCUCACCUUAACCUAUUUUGAUUUCCCUGAAAUGCUGUCUUCCAAAAGAUUCAGUGUUCAUCGCCAAAAAAAUUUUC